UCCUUGCUGCAAAAUCCGUGAGAGAGGUGAAGUUGAGAGCUGCUGGAGUUUCAAGCAGGCAAGAAGGGUAUUGGGUGCUGCAUCCGGAGGAGUAAAGACCUUUACUGCAAAUCUUUUGGAGAAAGAUCCAAGGAAGUCUUCAAGAGUUUCUUGAAGAUAUAGCAAGACACAAGGGACCAAUCUAAUAAAAGUAGAUAGUGUUACGUAAUGGAUUCUGUGCGUGUGUAUGUGUCUACCAUCCGCCCAUGCUUCUGUGUGUGUGCCCAUCCCUCCACUUCCACUUCUUCCUACAAAACCCAUCUCAGAUUCAUUCUUCCCUCGCUCCCUCCGCUGCGCUCUCUACAUCACCGGUUGCCUCCGCCCCUCUCCGCUCUCUCCUCCCCUCAAACUCAAACCAGGGACCAAGAACAAGAAGAAGGAAACGACAAUCCUUCUUCCGUCUCCAUGGACCGCAAAGUUCGUCUGCAAGUUCGAUUAGAUCACCAGGCAGCAGCAAGCAAACAGCACCAGGGAAGCUCUGUAAUCGGUUACAACUUCACGUAACCGAUUACAGGAAACCAUGCAUUUCUUCAGUUUUCUGUAACCGCAACACCCAGCCUUGUAACCGGUUACGCACUGUUCACCAUCUUCUCCAACACGCACUUGGACUUUGUUCACCAUGUAAUCGGUUACCCUUAACCAUAAUCGAUUAUGUGCUGCAGCCCUUUUCAUUUCCAUAGGAUUCAGAUUGAUAUUUAAUUUAAAGUUAAGGGCACACUGGACAUUUCAGUUAAAAUCAUCGCAAAUCUCCUCACUUUUGCGAGUGAUGAAAAAGCGAGGUAUCCUGCAAAUCCGUCCGCGCAAAUCGUCGCUGAUCAUCUCAAACGAACAUCACCAUUUGCUUAAAUCAUCGCUCUGUAAUUCGCAUGAACAGUAAAUUCCGUUCAUGCGAACACAGCCUAAGAUCACCACCGUUUCAUCUCCUCCGAUCACGAUUCCGACACCAUAGAAGGACUACUGGUGACAAGGGCUUCAAGAAGAACCGUUCGGUUUGUGAAACUGGACCGUUUGGUUUAACGAGCGAAGGAACUGUGGUAGAGAGGUUGUGUUUCUGCAUUGAGAACGUCCGGUCACAUUUUAGAGGAAAAAGUAUGGAGAAUAAAGAAUGCGGAAUAAGAGAGAUGGAGAUGCCACAAUCUAAUCUAGCACAAUGAUAAGUUAAGUGAAGAUUCGCCACAAAUAUCUUAGUCUUUGAUAAGAAUUAAAGUUCUAAUACAAGAACGAAUAGAAUCUUUUCUCAAAAAAUACAAAUGCAUAAUAUAAUAUGACUCAAGUGUUUACAUCAACUUUUAGUAUCUCUAUAUAUAGGUAUAUAAGUUUAAAAAUACCUCGAAAUCCUAAAAUAACGUCCACAACACAAAAAUCACAGAAAAUGAAAGAUGCAAACUUUCACUUAGGAAAGCCCACUCGCCUAACAAACACUGAUUGGGUCGCCCAACAAAUUUAACAUUUUGUAAAAUUAAAAUAAAAUUAAAAUUUAUUUAAUUUCUUAAAUUAUUCUAUAAUUGUGUUCAUGAUCUUCAUGUUUUUUAUUUUCCUCCUUCGUGUUAUCUUUGACCUUGUCAUAGAUCCUUUGAAUGACAAAUGUUCUUCCUCAAAUUCUUCUCAUAUAUGUUUAGGAGAUAAUACUUUAUCAUACCCUCUUUCUUGAAGAGAAUUUAUUCUCAAAUUUGUACCACUUGAAGAUUCCUUAUCACGUGAAGUGUGGCCUAGGACCAAACAACAAACGGAACCGUAGAACUAACAGCUCAAACCUAUUACUAAGAAUAUCAAUCUUUGACUGGGUUUGUCUGUGUACUGGGCUGACAGCCCAACAGAAUGCUACUGCAGUUUUAUUUUAUCAUAAUUGUAAAAGUGCAACAUGUUGCUUUAGAGAAUGGAAGUUCUAUUUAUGUUUUCAACUAAUUCUUUAUUU
Vigna angularis (adzuki bean) is the source of this 1954-nucleotide long non-coding RNA. RefSeq lists it as uncharacterized. The transcript is spliced from 4 exons. The record is from RefSeq and is a predicted model, not a curated record. NCBI's taxonomy places the organism in Eukaryota, Viridiplantae, Streptophyta, Magnoliopsida, Fabales, Fabaceae.